GCCUGGCUGGUUCAGUAGGUGGAACACAAGACUCUUGAUCUCAGGGUUGUAAGUUCGAGUCUCAUGUUGGGUG
Molecule: transfer RNA, 73 nt
Filed under: Canis lupus familiaris (dog)
Lineage: Eukaryota; Metazoa; Chordata; Mammalia; Carnivora; Canidae
Also listed under: 1 other name
Rfam family: tRNA
About the family: Transfer RNA (tRNA) molecules are approximately 80 nucleotides in length. Their secondary structure includes four short double-helical elements and three loops (D, anti-codon, and T loops).
Source: Rfam by way of RNAcentral